This 253-nucleotide ribosomal RNA is filed under the name uncultured bacterium. RNAcentral describes it as "partial 16S ribosomal RNA". It matches the Rfam family "Bacterial small subunit ribosomal RNA", at positions 524 to 776 of the family's 1533-position model. The record is from RNAcentral.
UACGUAGGGGGCGAGCGUUGCUCGGAAUUACUGGGCGUAAAGCGCACGUAGGCGGCUUGCUAAGUCGGGUGUGAAAUCCUGGAGCUCAACUCCAGAACUGCCUUCGAUACUGGAGAGCUUGAGUCCGGGAGAGGUGAGUGGAACUGCGAGUGUAGAGGUGAAAUUCGUAGAUAUUCGCAAGAACACCAGUGGCGAAGGCGGCUCACUGGCCCGGUACUGACGCUGAGGUGCGAAAGCGUGGGGAGCAAACAGG